Molecule: ribosomal RNA, 620 nt
Filed under: Klebsiella aerogenes
Lineage: Bacteria; Pseudomonadati; Pseudomonadota; Gammaproteobacteria; Enterobacterales; Enterobacteriaceae
Description: bacterial SSU rRNA
Rfam family: Bacterial small subunit ribosomal RNA
Source: RNAcentral
GGAGUACGGCCCGCAAGGUNAAAACUCAAAUGAAUUGUCGGNGGCCCGCACAAGCGGUGGAGCAUGUGGUUUAAUUCGNUGCAACGCGAAGAAACCUUACCUACUCUUGACAUCCAGAGAACUUUCCAGAGAUGGAUUGGUGCCUUCGGGAACUCUGAGACAGGUGCUGCAUGGCUGUCGUCAGCUCGUGUUGUGAAAUGUUGGGUUAAGUCCCGCAACGAGCGCAACCCUUAUCCUUUGUUGCCAGCGGUNAGGCCGGGAACUCAAAGGAGACUGCCAGUGAUAAACUGGAGGAAGGUGGGGAUGACGUCAAGUCAUCAUGGCCCUUACGAGUAGGGCUACACACGUGCUACAAUGGCGCAUACAAAGAGAAGCGACCUCGCGAGAGCAAGCGGACCUCAUAAAGUGCGUCGUAGUCCGGAUUGGAGUCUGCAACUCGACUCCAUGAAGUCGGAAUCGCUAGUAAUCGUGGAUCAGAAUGCCACGGUGAAUACGUUCCCGGGCCUUGUACACACCGCCCGUCACACCAUGGGAGUGGGUUGCAAAAGAAGUAGGUAGCUUAACCUUCGGGAGGGCGCUUACCACUUUGUGAUUCAUGACUGGGGGAAGUCGAACAAGUC